Molecule: long non-coding RNA, 461 nt
Filed under: Corvus moneduloides (New Caledonian crow)
Lineage: Eukaryota; Metazoa; Chordata; Aves; Passeriformes; Corvidae
Description: lncRNA (ENSCMUG00000017842.1)
Source: RNAcentral
CAGCCCUGCUCUGUGGGUUGUUCUCUGUGAGCCCUGCUGAGGACAGGCUUGGGAGAGCACCCAGCUCUGGAUGUGGCAGUCCUGGAGAACAACAAAGAUUCUGGAGGGAAGAGGAAGAACACAUGAGAAGGAUCCCGGGGUGGAAAUGAACUCAGGAGCCCAGAGGUCACGUUGGUGUCUGCUCCUCUCCCUGACCCUUCAAAGUGGAGCAGCCAGAAUCUGGACCGGUCCCUCCAGGCACGGUGAUGAAUGGUGUGAUCAAACAGGAUCGCUCGGACCACAAAAGUGCACCAGCUGGGAAUGAAGAGGAAAAGGCACCCAAGGAAAAGUCUGCCAGCGAAGUGAGAGAUGGCACCAAGCUCCAGCCCCCGCCCUUCGCAGAGCGGAAGAACGGUGAGUUCCUCGCCCGCUGCUGGCAAGAGAUGGGGGUGGAGAUGGGAUCGAUGCUGGUUUAGCAUCUC